Sardina pilchardus (European sardine) is the source of this 1684-nucleotide long non-coding RNA. RefSeq lists it as uncharacterized. The transcript has 2 exons. The record is from RefSeq and is a predicted model, not a curated record. Lineage: Eukaryota; Metazoa; Chordata; Actinopteri; Clupeiformes; Clupeidae.
UAUAAAGAGACACAAGACGUUAUGUACAGAUGAUCAUAUGAUUCCAAGCUUUUUGUGUGGCAUCUAUUUCUUUGAAUCAGGUAUUGAAAUGCCUCUGCUAAGAACCAUGCAAGAUAUAUCGCAAAUUAAUGAUGUAGUGGUAAUCAAAAUGAUUAAACAAUUAAACUAGUCUUAAAUUGUCGGUAAGAAAAAGGGAUGCAAUUUUACAAAUUGCUUUGCCAUUUACCACAUAAUUCAGUUGCUAUGUUUUCUAAAGAAGACGUUAAAUGUUGGGAAGUUGUCUAGAGCAGACACAAAUGUUGCUAAGUUGUCUACAGCAGACAGAAGUUAAAUGUUGUUAAGUUGUCUAGAGCAGACAGAAGUUAAAUGUUGUUAAGUUGUCUACAGCAGACAGAAGUUAAAUGUUGUUAAGUUGUCUAGAGCAGACAGAAGUUAAAUGUUGUUAAGUUGUCUACAGCAGACAGAAGUUAAAUGUUGUUAAGUUGUCUACAGCAGAUAGAAGUUAAUGUUGUUAAGUUGUCUAGAGCAUACAGAGGUUAAAUGCCUUACCGAGUGUUAGAGUCAGGCCGCAGAGCACAACAGCGGCCAGCAGCAUGUGGGAUCGGAGGGCCAUCUCUGUUGGUUAAUUUGCUUGGAUGGGAGCUGUGCUGGUUGGGCUGCGCGUGCUGUGGUGUUCCCUUGGUGAUGCUCUAGCUGGAGGAUGCCCUAUGGGUUGCACUAUCAGCGUUUAUAAACACUAGAAAGAGGGAAGUGAAUCUGACUCAUCUCAGCUCACCACAACGCAGUCUGCUAUCUUCGGGGUCAGGGGUGGGACUACUAUAACAUUGGUCCUUUGGUAAGCCUCACUGACAAGAUCCACUGUUACCACAUACCACAAUUUCAUCAUGUGUGAACAGCUGAGUGAAACCUUUGGGAUAUUCUCAUUUGGGGCACCUUGUCUGAUUUGACUUUGGACAUGCUGGAGGGAGAAUUGUGUUGUUAUUGUUGCUGUUGUUGAUGUUUUUUUUGUUUUUUUUUGCACAAAUGCAACUGGAAAAUUGAAGGAGAAUGUCAGGUCUCUGCACCCUGGUAUAUGCUCAAAUAAUGCCUUUGAAAUACAAGACUUUGGUUGAUAUUGCACAGCACAAGUGAUUAUUGUGGUUAGAAGAUAUAAGGCUAUACAAACAAAUAUGAAUUUCAAAGUCAUAUUAUAUGUUUUAUGAUGACGAUGAUGGAAUGAUGGAAUGUACAGUAUGUGAUAGCCAAGUGUGCCAGCACCAGAUAGAAAAAGUGCUGACAGAUUUGACUGAGGAACAUGCAGUAAUAAAAUAAAUCCCCCUGCACACACACACACACACACACACACACACACACACACACACACACACACACACACACACACACACACACACACACACACACACACACACACACACUCAAAAUAAGCCAAUAUUUUCUUGAUCUCCACCGCUCGGUUGACAUCUUACUGGCAUUAUGCCUAAAAUAUCAUAGAGGGACAUUUUCUUGUGUUGUAAAUGUUUUGAAUUGUUUUUUUUAUAUAUAUCUUUAUGUAUUUUAUUCAGAUAUCACCUGUUUCUCCUGAACCUCUCUUAGAAACUUGUUUCUAUUUUUUUGUUUACUUUUUUAAUAAUUGAAUUUCCUUGUUUUUCACAACAAAAAUAAUAAACAUUAAGUAUUUUACAUA